RNAcentral lists this ribosomal RNA (440 nucleotides) under uncultured bacterium. RNAcentral describes it as "partial 16S ribosomal RNA". It matches the Rfam family "Bacterial small subunit ribosomal RNA", at positions 338 to 795 of the family's 1533-position model. The record is from RNAcentral.
CCUACGGGAGGCAGCAGUGGGGAAUAUUGCACAAUGGGGGAAACCCUGAUGCAGCGACGCCGCGUGGGUGAAGAAGUAUCUCGGUACGUAAAGCUCUAUCAGCAGGGAAGAAAAUGACGGUACCUGACUAAGAAGCCGCGGCUAAGUACGUGCCAGCAGCCGCGGUAAUACGUAGGGGGCAAGCGUUAUCCGGAUUUACUGGGUGUAAAGGGAGCGUAGACGGCAGCACAAGUCUGGAGUGAAAUCCCGGGGCUUAACCCCGGACCUGCCUUGGAAACUGUGCGGCUGGAGUGCAGGAGGGGUAAGCGGAAUUCCUAGUGUAGCGGUGAAAUGCGUAGAUAUUAGGAGGAACACCGGUGGCGAAGGCGGCUUACUGGACUGUAACUGACGUUGAGGCUCGAAAGCGUGGGGAGCAAACAGGAUUAGAUACCCGGGUAGUC